RNAcentral lists this ribosomal RNA (345 nucleotides) under uncultured soil bacterium. RNAcentral describes it as "bacterial SSU rRNA". It matches the Rfam family "Bacterial small subunit ribosomal RNA", at positions 26 to 363 of the family's 1533-position model. The record is from RNAcentral.
AGAGUGAACGCUGGCGGUAGGCCUAACACAUGCAAGUCGAACGGCAGCACAGUAGGAGCUUGCUCUUACGGGUGGCGAGUGGCGGACGGGUGAGGAAUACAUCGGAAUCUACCUUUUGGUGGGGGAUAACGUAGGGAAACUUACGCUAAUACCGCAUACGCCCUUCGGGGGAAAGCCGGGGACCAGCAAUGGCCUGGCGCUGAUAGAUGAGCCGAUGUCGGAUUAGCUAGUUGGUGAGGUAAUGGCUCACCAAGGCGACGAUCCGUAGCUGGUCUGAGAGGAUGAUCAGCCACACUGGAACUGAGACACGGUCCAGACUCCGUACGGGAGCAGCAGGUGGGAAUA